Molecule: ribosomal RNA, 345 nt
Filed under: uncultured bacterium
Lineage: Bacteria
Description: bacterial SSU rRNA
Rfam family: Bacterial small subunit ribosomal RNA
Source: RNAcentral
ACUCCUACGGGAGGCAGCAGUGGGGAAUAUUGCAUCAAUGGGGAAAGACCCUGAUGCAGCCAUGCCGCGUGUGUGAAGAAGGCCUUCGGGUUGUAAAGCACUUUCAGUAGGGAGGAAGGUAGUGUAGUUAACACCUGCACUAUUUGACGUUACCUACAGAAGAAGCACCGGCUAACUCCGUGCCAGCAGCCGCGGUAAUACGGAGGGUGCGAGCGUUAAUCGGAAUUACUGGGCGUAAAGCGCAUGCAGGCGGCCUGUUAAGUCAGAUGUGAAAGCCCGGGGCUUAACCUCGGAAUUGCAUUUGAAACUGGCAGGCUAGAGUCUUGUAGAGGGGGUAGGAAUUUC